Molecule: long non-coding RNA, 11882 nt
Organism: Gasterosteus aculeatus aculeatus (three-spined stickleback)
Lineage: Eukaryota; Metazoa; Chordata; Actinopteri; Perciformes; Gasterosteidae
Source: Ensembl
CAAUAAACCAUGAGAACGUUUUAAGAAAAGCAUGCGCGUGUCCCCGCCCCCUUAAGCGGAGCCGUUCGGGGUGUUAUGGUGGAAAACACAAAAGCUUCUGGGGUGUUUUUUGAGGCAAGCUUCGCUCACAACAGCCGAGUCGGGAGGCGGGGGGGUUUGGGGGGGCUUCUGAUGAUCAAAGUGUUGGGAAGUCUGUGCUCAGCAGGUAGAGAAUGUGUUCUGGUUGCUUGAAGGAUCCACUUUAUAAACAAACCCUGAAAACGCAGAAUAUCAUGGCGCCAUAUGGACGUCACUGCGAGGGAGAAGACUGCUGAAAGAGGGAAGAAACAAACACGCAGCAGAGCAAACAGCCCACCGGCGUCUUUCUCAACCACAUUGCUUUUGUGGUUUUAUUAAUACGAACAAACGCGGCCCCGUGGUUCUGAAAUGUUGUUUGGGGGAAUCUUCUUCAAAGCCUUUUGGUCCCCGGACACUCGUCCCCUGUGAUGUCGCGUCUUGUCAGAGGACAAGGACAAGCACAAUGGAUGACACAGAGAGGGAACACGUUACCGCCGACAAAGGACGGGAGCCUGACAUGACCGCCGCGUGUCACGCGGACCCGAGAGCUGACACGCACGACUGUGACUGUUUCAUAAUUCAUCAGAUCUCGCCCGAGAAAUGAAACAGAAGCCGCUGUCAGGAGCGUUUAAUCCGGGCCGCAGCCGGAGUGAAGACGUCGACAGUCUGUCCGCUCCGUUUGACGCUGGGCUCGUCGUGGCUUCUGCCAAACACCUCCGCGGUUAAGUGACGGGGAACGAAGGACGCGUGGAGGGAGGCGGGGCCCGCGAGGGCCCGGGAGACAACGCGGCGCCACGGCCCGGCGUGAGCGCGUCACAGAACUCAAAGGCACAACUUCAGAUGGGAUCACGGUCGCGGCUUCGCUUUCACACUAAAGUCCUUUUGGUCUUUUUUACCGACAUGGCGUCACAUGAUCCGCGGCCACUGAAGCUCACGUGGUCGCCGACGACGAGGUUCAAAGUCACCUGCUGCCACCGCGGCUCCGUCGUGUUCUCCACGAGGUGAGAAAAUGUCUGUUUCUGCUUCAUGACUGUAAAACCCUUUCAUGUCGGCUUGACGAAAACCUCAUUCUAGCAAUUAUUUCCCACAUAACCACAUUUUGAAGUGGAGAUGUAAAACGUUAUCAUGAAUCAUCCCGGCUGUUUGCAAUGGAACAAAGCAACAAAUACAAUUAGUGUUGCUUUUUAUAGCAGGAUUUAAUGAUCUGGACUGAAAUGGCAGCCGCCCCGAGCUAACUGGGUGGAUUGAGGGCGAUGCCGCUCGUGUGGCUCUUUUCAUUGCGCGGGGAAAUCGAUCGGGCGUAUAAAUAUAAAAUCUAUAUCCUCACUAUCUGAAUCUAAUAUCAAACCAUCGAAUAUAACUCGUUGCUAUUGUUUACACGUCACUGACGUGGAACAAACAGAUCAAUUACGCAUCAUCGUGGACUCGCUCUCAGGCACGUACCCGUGUCUAUACAUAGCAGAGGGUUUCUGGACAAAUCCCAGGUCAGGAUCCCUGUCGGCUCUGAGAGGGGCGUGUGUGCACUAGUAAAGACAUAACUGCUUUAAGAGCUCGGCAACGGUUAUUUUCAAAGACGAGAUUGAGUGGUAUUACCCUCUAACCCUAACUGUCCAAGCACUGUUUCUAUGCCAACAGCAGAAGAGUCUUUUCAUUCUGACUGGCUACUGUGUGUGUGUGUGUGUGUGUGUGUGUGUGUGUGUGGACGUUCUGCCGAGCUAUUUCCUAUUCACUGCCGUUUUAAAUUGUACACACCACCUGGCCGCACACGUAACCAUCAGCCACAUGCGUCGGUUCAGCAGCAGCAGCCCCUCCAGCCCGAUGCCUUCACACUCCGGACCCUUCCAGCAAGGAUCCAAUCAGCAUGCGUGAUGUCCAGCGCCUCGUAUUCUCACAAGGCCUCAUUUUGCAGGUCGGGGGGGGGGUGCGAUGAGAGCUCAGCGUUAUAAUUCCUCACUGCUUUAUAGCUUUUUCCAACUCAAUGGUCACCGAGAACAAGUGUGUCACUUAACAAAUGGGCUGCUUUGCUCAAUAUGCAAUUAACCUAUAUCGCUGGAUGGAAGUUUUCAGUCCACCGAGGAGAGUUUUCAUAGAGUGAAUAUCUAAAAAUGGCUGCGUACGGUGCAGAGAUCAAUCCCCUUUCUCUCCAUUGAUUCCAUUAAAAGCCUUUUUGGAGAUUGAUUACACUGAAAGCUUCCCUCCGCUUUAGAUUACAGUUGCACAAUUCCAAUCUCAUUUUUUACAGCCCAUAGAUAUGGGCAUUUAUUCUAUUACGGUGGAAGGUGCAAAGCCUGGAGCCUGAACAUCAGAGACCACCCUUUUCUACCAAUAAUGCUUUAGAUAGUAGAACAUCCGUUUGACUAUUGGUACGGCCCUGCGUUCUCCGAUAAGCGUUAUCACACCUGUCAUUCCUUUUGCCGGAUCAGUUUUCCGCCAUCAAGAUCAAAAUGCGUGUUUCAUGAAAAUCCGACAACAGCCCUGCGAAGAAAGACGAUUCAACCUGUUUUCAGCUCACGGACACUAUUUCGGUGCAGCGGGCGCCGCGUACACCUGCAUUCUUAUUCCGGUAGUCUACCAGCAACAGCAAGUCGAAAAAGCCAAUGAAAACAGAAUGCAUUGCACAUAUAGAUGUAUAUGUAUAUAUACAGAUAUGUAUAUUUCUUUGUGUGCCGUAGCUCUCAUUUCUGAGGCCUUAUCUCUGUAAUGGAAUAUUUAUCAGUAAAGAAUACAGCAAAAAGAAUGCCGCCCCUGGCAACUGAAUGCAUAAAACAUUUAGUUAUUUCCUUGUGUUUGUAUAUCAACCGGAGAAGUGAUGAAGAAUAUUAAGGGCUGUAUAGUGGGGGGUGGGGGGUCCUUACUCAGCACCUUGUGGCCGUUGCCAUCUCCAGGGUUAAAUCUGGGGCAGUGUCCUCGCCGGCCCGCUGAGGGAUUCAUUUAUUCACCGCCCGUUUCUGCUGAGCGUUCCACUCUCUGCAGGUGGGAUGUUUAUGGAUACGUCCUGAAAGUAAUAUGAAAGCAAUAACACCGCACAACAUCUCGGUUAUUUCACUGAAGAAUUGAUCAGAUGUGUCACUUGAAAUUGCAUUUUUUUUGUUGUUGUUUAAUACAGUGUGCGUUCCUCACUGCGGUGCAGCCGUGUGACAGACAGCCGGCUUUUUGCAUGUGGCUGCGCGUGACCUUUCCCUGCUGCGCUGCUUAGUGCAGUCCGCUGGCAGACUUGGGUGUUGUUGCCGAAUGGAUAAGCGCUCAUCCUGAAACCCGUCCCCCGUCCCCUCCAUCCUCCACAUCGCCCGAAGGCUGCUUCCCCCGCUUGGCCAGCCGCUCCUUCCGUCGGGGGGGUUUGGCGGCGCAGGAUGCGUCCUCGCGCCCGAAUGCCGGAUGAUGGAGAACUAAAAGAAACGGGGAAUAAAGUCUACGACUAGUGUGGCCUUAAAGCAUCUUCUUCAUUCAUUGUAGGUGUCAAAACAGUGUCACAUGAUAAUUACAUGUGAGGUUGAACCCCAAAAUGUCUGUAUUUUUAGGCAUUGACAAACCAACUAAAUGAAAUGUGAGUGACAAAGAGGUGCUGUAUAUAAACAACAAUACGCUGUAUGUGCUAACAGACACAUUUUUAAAUCCUCUGGCGGCGUGUUUAAGGCUUAGAAACACCACUUACAGGAGCCCCGCGUUGCUGCGGCUGCACGCGGAGCCUUUGUUGAGUACGAGGGGAGGCGCUCUUCCCUUGCAGUGCUGUUGUUGUCGCUUGUUUCGUUCAGCUUCACUUCCUUAAUUGGAACUCCUGUCACACGGCGGACUGCAAACUUUAGUUUUGCCCGAGUCCACCUUGUAGCUAACUACAUGUAGGCAGCGGAUGGGUUUAGCUGGGCUAAAGGUGUCGAUGCUCUCCAGUGCUUGAAUUAGAAUUUCAUUGAUAGCGUCUAAACGUUUCCAGGCACUGAGUACCGCUGAUUGUUUUGUGAAACCGCAGCAGGACGAGUGGAUGCAGCUGUACGUGAGGAUGUGUGCAGCGCGUUCACCGGCAGCAGCGUGCAAGGUCUCAAACCACGAAUGAAUUCGCUCGUUUCUCCUCCAAACGUUCUUUCGUUCGUCGUUCACGUGCAUGAUGCGUGACCUCUGCCUUUAACCCUCCCCGAGCAUCCGUAGGAGCACCGGGCCGCUGCGAAGCACCCGGGGAGCCGCUUCGGGGGGAUCCGUGUCCUGGUCAAGGACGCUUCCACGCGUGACAGUUUAACCACGAGGUUAAAGGACGAGCCGCUCUCCCCACCGAGCCACAUCUGCCCCAGUUUUUUUUCAGCUCGUGACCUCGACCUUUCCUCAAGCUGCAAGGACACCAACACAUUUUUUGAAGUUGGUUAAUAUAAGAAGUCGUUGGCCUAUUUGUAUUAUGCUUCCACACACCAGGUAGAAAUGGUGGUAAUCUAAUUUUGAGGGGGGUGUUUUUUUCGUGAACUUUUACUGGAGUUUGUUGCAUAAACACGACCCACAAGCAGCUUUGUACCUUUUUAGAAAGAGCGUUUCCCGUCAACGUGAAUAACUAAACAGUUUAGUUGAAUAGAAACGUAAAUUUGUUGCAGAUAUUAUCGCGGCUCGCCAAGCGUUGAAAGAAAGAUAAAUCUUGAAUUGAACUUUUUUUUACAAGGACCAAGGAUUGUGGAGGUUGUCCCCUAAAUGACUUACUGUGAAAUUGGGUUAUGUCUUUGCAGCCAAUAGACAAGAGGAGCAAUUCCAGGAGCAGUAACCCUUUUAGUGUUCAGUCGUGACUGAAGACUCUUUCCCGCAACCUUUCCAUGUUCUGGUCCAAGUAGUCACCUAACCUCGUAGUCUAAUUCCCGUGCACGGAUUUGUACGAAUAAUUGAUGUAAGAACGAAAACGUUAUCAUUUGUCAUUCAAAAUGUCGCUGAUCGGAAUGCCACGAGGGACGUUUUCACACAAAAGGUCAUUUGACUCGUCACCGGGAGAACGACUCAACCCACGAACGCAGCCGCUCAAUGUCUGAACCAAAGAAUAUAAGCAGUCAAACAAAACAUCUCAUUAUCAGGGGUUAUUUUCUUGAGAGCCUCCUCUACAAAUUGGGGACAUGAAACGUCUCGGGGUUCCGGCAGAGAAAGUUCUGUUUAUUAGGGAACACGGACGAGCCGGCGUUGCAUUUUUCACCAGCGAAUCCAUGAAAAAUAAUACAACUGACAAUCUACCGCAUCCAAAACAAAUUAAAUCCCUGCAUGAUGUAUUCAACUGCUGCACCAAUCGAAAGGAGUCUCCCGGAGGCACCGUCCAUCUGCCACGCGGCGGAAGUCAGCGGCGGAGACGACGUUCCUGUCCUCCCUUAAAACAAGCCGUCAAAGCGACGCGGACGCCGCUCCUCAAGCCCUCGAGAAGAGUCCACGUGCUCCCGCGCGUCGCAUCGAGGGCCGACUGGGAGCCACGGAGACCAACCGGUGACGUAGGGGCAGUUCUUUGCAUCAGUGACAGAUCCCUUUCAUAUUGUACCUCCCCCCUCAGAAUGCUGAAUGCUGAAUUUCCCCUUUUAUGAUAUAAAAAUGUUCAGGAUUCAAGUGGUUUCUCCUCUCGCACACCGGCCCCACAGAGCCUCCCUGUGCCGUGUGCUCGGCUGGCCAGUGUGCCGAGUGUCUCGGGGGCUCAGCUCAGGCUUCAGCCGGCCACGGCCACCUGAACUGCUUUCUCCAUUGUGACCCCAGGCGGCACGCGGGCUGCUGCUUCAUUAGGUCGCUGCACCACCUCUAGCCAGGAGGGGAUUUGAAGGCAGGUCCAGUCUGGAUUACCAUAUGGCUCCUCUUGGUCCACGCUGUCAUGAAAUAUGAAUCCAACGCCAAGACUACUGCUCCUAACGCGCUCAGGAGUGUCACACAUAUACGGCCCGACACAGUGGGAGCUCCGGGCGCAUGGAUGUUGCAAAGAUUUCAUCACGCUUGGAAGGCAGGAGUUUUCAUAUUGUGAGUUGCUGGGUCCACGGCGGCGUCCUCUUUGUUUACCUUGGCUCGGUCCGCAUUGUCCUCAUCUCGUCCAGCGCGCAAAACAGACGGGAAAAGGUGUUGGAAAAAUUGCCUUUUGGGGAAAGCUCGUGAAAAUAUUCUCGUUCUCCAUUCACACCCCCUAAAUUAAUGCAGAUUAAUUCAAAUCAAAGGCCUUUGUGGAAACUGCACCUGCAAACAUUUGACUUUUUCACUGCAGAGACACAAUCUGUGUGUCAGGUAAGGAAGUGGUUUAAUCUCUUCAGGCCCAGAGGUGGCUUAAGUGGCAGAGACCAGAUGGUGGAAUCAACAUGCCCGGGAGGCAAACACCGACUGACAAGACAGCCGAGAGUCUUCCAUGAUGAAGUGUGUGCAUUUGAUUUCCCCACUCAUCCCUCUCUCAAACCGGGUUGUUCAAUAUUUUCCAUGAGCAACGAGUCAAAUGAAUGAAAAUGUGCACCGAAAAUAAAUUCACCAUUAAGCGGUCGCGUCGCUCGAUUCCGUCUGUCUGCGUGAUGGACGAGUGCAACAGCUUUCGGAUUCAACUUGACGAACCUCUUCAGUGACAUUUCUGAAAAACAAUAUCCUGAACUGCCGGCCGAAGCGGUGGGACAACCUUCGGGGUGUUGAAUGUCACCAUCUGUCGAGGACCUGCUUAGUCAAAGUCAUUACGGCACGUGGAGUGGAGCUCCUGCUCAUGAGGGCCGCGCUUUAUUGCACAGAAGCUCAGGUGGACCCUGAUCGGAUUUCAGAGGCUCAGUGGGCCGUCGGUGGGAGCGCGUGGUUUCACAUUAUCCACUUCUAAUUGUUGGGCGCACCCAACAAUCCGCUCUGUAAAACACUUGAUUUUUAUUGAUUUAUUUGGCCAAUUAGAUAUCACAUAGUAAAACUACUGUGUUUGUCCGUAAAACAACUUACUGCAAAACAAACGCUAAAGAUGUCUUCUAUUCCUAAUGCUACGGCAGUUGGAUCAAACUCCGCCGUACCUGCGUAGAUUUGACCUUUUCUCAGGAAUUUACAGUCUGCUUAUUAAUCACGAAGCCGCAGCAGCAGAUUUUUUUUUUUUUAUGGCUACUCUGAUAAACUCAACACGCUAACGCACGUUUCUGCAAACAUCUGUCUGCUAUCCAGCUGACGCGACAACUUUCACAUGCACUUUAGUUGUGGAGCUCUUCUCGGUCACCUUGACCAGCUACAAUUUAUUUAUUUCACACUCAAUCCGCUUCGGUUCAGUCAGCUAAAACAGCCCUAAGGUGUACAUUACACGUGGUCUUUUAAUCCCUUUGUAAUAAAAGUAUGUGCGUCCACGGACCACAGCAGUCCAGCGCUUUGAGAUGCUGCGAUUGGUUCCGUCAGACUCGACGUGGUGAGCAGAGUUUGAUUAAGUUUCCUGGUGUCGGCGUUCGCUCUGCGGGGCGCUGCGUCGUUCAUCCCCGCCUCAGGUGUCUGUCACACACCAGCAGGAUGCGUCGAUUCGCCGUAGCCAAACAUAUCUCCGAGCAGAUAGUUCCACCGGGGGGGGGGUUAUUGUGUUCCUCAAAACCAACUCUCAGCCAUGGCAUCCCGCUUGAUGUGCCUCUCAGGUGGCCUUCAUAUUGCCUGAAUGGAUUUUGAGCGGUGAUGUGGAACGAUUCCUUUGAGAAUGACGCCCUUUCAAAUGAAGAUAAAGUCAUUAGACAGCAGCAGCUGUCCUUGGAUCUUUGCUUUUUCCUCAACUGCGCUGGAUGAAAACGGUGUGCCGCGUGUGUUUCAAGAUGCUCUUAGGAGUGAUGCUCAUUCUCAGCGUGUUCGCAUUAAGAGCUGUUUUUCUCCAUUACUGCUUAAGGACAGUUGUCAGUUUGCCACUUGUCAAAUUUAGUUGGAUCUUUUCAGAUGAACCUUCAUCAACUUUGAAUAUUGACAUUUUAAAAGGCCCCUCGCCAACAUUCGUCCUCAUGCACACACGGGCACCGAUUGCACGGCUCAUUUCUCGAAUGACUGCGGAACGUAUGCAGCCUCCCACCGAGUGGAUGUAUUUACACGCACCUCGUCUCGUCUCGGGGAUUCCUGCCUGGCGCUCUGGCAUUCUGGCGAUUUGUUACAACCUGGCACAGAGUCUACGUCGUACCUGGAUGUGUCUGCUGUAUCUCCUCAUGCAGAAUGGCUUCUGCUGUCCCACAGGUCUGCAACAUGCUCGUCUCUACAGGUGCAGCCGGCGCCGUUGGCUUGGAGGAGGAGGAGGAGGAGGAGGAGUGGAACAAAUGUGGUUCUGUUUUUUUGGUUAACCUUUUGAUUUAACAAAAGCACGUCAAUACCCUUCUAACUGUUUGUUUGGUUUGGAAUCACACGUUUGGACACGUCACAGAAAAUAUUGUGAUUGAGAAAUUCUUCAGGUUUUAAAUGUAACGGUGUAAACGUCUCUUGUAUUUUUGUUGUUUUGUGAAAGGGGCCAAAUGAUUUGGACAACAUGGAAGUCGAAUUAAGCUAUUAUUGUUUUCCGGUACUGAAUUUGGAUCUUGGCGAGCACAGAUUGUUCCCUUUACUCGUUCUCUGAAGUGAAUUCUAUUUGUGUCGUGCGUUUUGAUGACCCAAUGUCCUUUUUAUCUUACUACUCAACAUAUUUAAGCAACACUAUAAAAUGCACCACAACAAUCUGUCCACUGACUUUGAGAUUCAAAGGAAACCCUUUGAUGCUACAGCAUGAAGUCUGCUUUCAUGAUUAACCAAAGUAAAAUAUCUGACCCGAAACACGUACAGACAUUUUGGUAUUUUGAUUUCUGCGUCCGGGUACGCUAGCGACUCCUGGCACAACCAGAGCAGGUCCAUAAAAGAGAGGACUCCCCAGUUUGGAUGUCGAAGAACUAGUCCACACAGAACCUCGACCCUGUCCAGCCCGUCUGGCGCCGACGGGAAGACCGCCGCCGAUAGACAAAGCGUCAGAGCUGGACCGUUGAAUGCGUUGAAUGGGAGCCAGAAGAGCGCAGGCUGUCACAGCAGAUUAAUACCCAUGAACGUGUGGGUGCCAUGUUCAGGUCUCUACAGAUUAAUACCCAUGAACGUGUGGGUGCCAUGUUCAGGUGUCCACAGAUUUAAACCCAUGAACGUGUGGGUGCCAUGUUCAGGUGUCCACAGAUUAAAACCCAUGAACGUGUGGGUGCCAUGUUCAGGUCUCCACACACCUCGCAGCCUUUUGUUUCUAAUUGCAAUGCACCGUUGUAAAAGUCGACGCUCUCCUUUUCCCCCUCCCAGUUUCUCUCUGUCCUCCGUACGUCUCGCUGAAUAUGUUCAUUUCACAGUGCUGAAGGACUUGUGCUCUCAGUGAAUUUUUUUUAUUUUGUAUGGGGCGAGAGGCUUUGUGUUUGCACAGUUUCAACAAACGCACCAAGAAAACCAGCCGAGGAGCCCGGAUGAUGUGAGAAAGCCUCCCAGGACGAGGCGGCGAGGGAGCGCGGCGGUGGGUAAAAUGAAAGCAUCGCUGUUCGCAUUCAGACAGACGGAUGGCUAAACACGCAGGUGAGUCACGUCCGGAGGAGACGACGCGGGGGGAUCUCAGUGUGCAGGUGAAUGUGCUGAACGGAGAGCAGCAGCACAAUGUUGACAACUGAAAUAAUUUGGUUUCCAGUGCAGCUUCAUCCGUUUUGAUCAUUUUCUUGUAGCAUUUGUCACAAGAUGGCUUGCUGGUUUAUUGUCACAACAGGCAUCCUGAAGUGUAUUUCUUCCACUCAGUCUGAGGAAAAACCUGCAGGAGAGUUUCAGGAGGGUGUAGAGAAUGCAACAUUCAGAUCCACAGUAACAUCACUACAAAACACUGCAGCUUAAUUCUGACAAAUGCUCUUCUGUUCAUUAAGAAUUGAUAAAAAUUGAUAAAAAAGCUACUUGAGGAUUUAAGACAUCAUCCCUCUGUUAACUUACUCAUCAGCAAGUAUUAGAAAAGUAAGGGUAAAUCUUUUCUGACGUCUCAUAUUUCGGCGCCGUAUUCUUUGCCUCCACUUUUCUCUUAACAUUUCUACCUCGCGCCCUCGACGUUGGGGAGGCUUUUGACCUGCGACACGCGCAGCCGAUGCUUUCACAAUGUCAGACGCAGAAGCGGCGUGAAAGCCGCCACAGUUCAGGUUGGUUUGCCGAGGCCGGAACCUAAGUGGCUGCUUUUCAUGGGAGCACUUAGCCGUGAAGUCAAUAUGACUCAGCCUGCCCCUCCGACUUGGCACGUCAAAGUAAGUGAGCACACGGGUCCUUAAAGAGGCUUCGACGUGAUGUUUCCACCGCCUCCCUGCCAGCCUCGGUCGGCCCUAUUAAUUGAUCCAGUUAAAUAAAGAGCAUCAGUCGGUCCGCCGGGACCGGAACGCUUUCAAGUCCUUCUGACAAUCAGUAGAAAAUCCCUUUUGAUUUCUUCCGUUUAUGUGCAUGACUUGUGAUAAUUACGUCGCACAAUUACCUUGAACUGGGCGUCGUUUGAGACGUUGCGCUCAGGUGAAACCUCGUUACCCCAACGCGGCAUUCCGCCCACCGGAACGCUGCAUCUAAUCUUAAAAAGCUGAACCGGAGUGAGUCUGUAUUGAUUGGGAGCGCUGAGAGCAACAACGGGCGCUUUACCCACUAAUGGGAUUGUGUUCUUUGUUUGAACACAGACGCACACCUCUGACAUGACUUCGUUUCAUUUGCAAUCAAACGGGCGGUUUCCGCCGGCGUCGCGGUGAGUCGGCCCUCUAAUGUGAGCCAAGCCCCAAGCGCUCCUCCGUUGUUGCCGCGCCGCCGCAAUUAAAUUAAAUGUUCUAAUUUCACCCAACACUUGUUGAGAUUGUUGUCUGCGAUUUUCUUUUUAUUUCGAAUUUCUUACUCUGAUUGUUUGGUCUCCGAGCAGCUCCGAUCGCCUCGAGUAGUAAAGUGUCACUCUUCAUGCUUCAUCUUACUGAAGCCCGAUGAAAUGCACGCGGAGAGGCAGAAGCUGGAUUCUAUUAAAAGUUUUUAACGCUUGAUUGUAUCCUUGAUGGCGUUGAAAAAGGAGUCUCUGAGGGCGAAUAUUACUCCAUCGUGCUGCUGCCGCUCGGGCCAAAUGGUGUCAAUUAGUAAUCAAUUGAGAAUCCGCUGUCCUUUGUUGGCGCGGCAGUAAUCACAGACGUCGUAGAUCACGUUUGUCUCCAUCGGGGCGUCUGGAUGCUUUUCUUCUUCUCUGGUUCUCAACAGUUGAUGCACUACAUGAGAUCUAUAUUUAUAUUCAUCAUGUCGAUAUGCAGGACCUGUUUGACAUUAAAUAUCAAUUUAAAUCAAUGCUGCUUUUUAGAUGACCAAUAAUGUAUUAUUAUAUGUUCAGCUCCCGAAGGCUUCAGCUGACGUUUCUUAUUAUGUCUAUUCUAUAUCUGUCUAUUUUACACAAAUACGACGUUGUCAUGGAACAGCUUGAGGGGGCCGAAUCCGGCCUGGUUGAGUCUUUUCAUUUGGCUUUUUACCAGAACAUGUUUGCCUAUGUUAAUAUUGCAGAACCCACUAUUUGUUGUUUUAUUAUAUUAUAUAUAUAUAUACGCCUGUAUUCAUGUCUCCAACAUGUUGUAAACCGUACAAAUAUAUCUGAAGAAUGAAGUGUCUUCAUGUCAAAGACUUCUUCUAAUCAAGCGUGUACAUAGAUACAAAUCAUCACUGCUUGUAUCAUGUUGUUAUCUUAUCCCGAAUAGCAAUGACUAAAUAUCAUUUAGAAACUGAUGGAAAAUAAAACAACAAAAGAAUCAGCUUUUAAUAUUUCACAAAUGCGUAAAUCUUCUUUCACUGAGUGGAAGGAGAAUUCUACGGGAAGCGUUUUAAUGGUCCCACACUUCCUCUCAUGUCAGCUGAAGAGCCCCAACUCCACUUCUGCUGGAUUCCAUGGAUGGGUCCAUCUCCUAAUG